GUAGUCUCGCACAGAUGCAUAUCAAUAAGCGGAGGAAAAGAAACUAACAAGGAUUCCCUCAGUAACGGCGAGUGAAGCGGGAAGAGCUCAAAUUUGAAAUCUUCAAGGUUUUACCUUGACGAAUUGUAGUUUAAAGAAGUGUUUUCUGUUGAAGUUUUGGUAAAAGUUCUUUGGAAUAGGACAUCACAGAGGGUGAGAAUCCCGUCUAUGAUUGCGAUUUGUAGCUUUGUGAUACACUUUCAAAGAGUCGGGUUGUUUGGGAAUGCAGCCCAAAACGGGAGGUAAAUUUCUUCUAAGGCUAAAUAUUGGCGAGAGACCGAUAGCGAACAAGUACCGUGAGGGAAAGAUGAAAAGAACUUUGAAAAGAGAGUUAAAUAGUACGUGAAAUUGUCAAAAGGGAAGCGUUUAACACCAGUGUUGUUUUCUGAAAAUCAACCUCUGUUAGCUUUAUGCAUGUUUGUUUAGACCUAAUCAGCUAUCUUGCAUGUUCUAUUGUUUGCAGUGGUGCACUUUUCAGUUUACAGGUCAACAUCAGUUUUUUUUACCGUAAAAAAGUUAAAGAAAGGUAGCUCAUGGCUCCGGUCGUGAGUGUUAUAGUCUUUUUCCUAUGCGGUAGGAGAGACUGAGGUCUGCAGUGUAGGCUAUUUGGCUAGAUACUCAGGUGCUACGUGAUACCAUUUCAUAAACAACUUGUUGAUUAUGUUUUGUCUAUUGCAUACUCGCUUGUACUAUCAUACCUACGCUUAGGAUGUUGAAGAUGUAGCACAUCAU
RNAcentral lists this ribosomal RNA (771 nucleotides) under uncultured Neocallimastigales. RNAcentral describes it as "partial large subunit ribosomal RNA". It matches the Rfam family "Eukaryotic large subunit ribosomal RNA", at positions 24 to 635 of the family's 3401-position model. Lineage: Eukaryota; Fungi; Neocallimastigomycota; Neocallimastigomycetes; Neocallimastigales. The record is from RNAcentral.